This 549-nucleotide ribosomal RNA is filed under the name uncultured Bacillaceae bacterium. RNAcentral's name for it is "bacterial SSU rRNA". It matches the Rfam family "Bacterial small subunit ribosomal RNA", at positions 60 to 589 of the family's 1533-position model. Lineage: Bacteria; Bacillati; Bacillota; Bacilli; Caryophanales; Bacillaceae. The record is from RNAcentral.
AGUCGAGCGAAUGGAUUAAGAGCUUGCUCUUAUGAAGUUAGCGGCGGACGGGUGAGUAACACGUGGGUAACCUGCCCAUAAGACUGGGAUAACUCCGGGAAACCGGGGCUAAUACCGGAUAACAUUUUGAACCGCAUGGUUCGAAAUUGAAAGGCGGCUUCGGCUGUCACUUAUGGAUGGACCCGCGUCGCAUUAGCUAGUUGGUGAGGUAACGGCUCACCAAGGCAACGAUGCGUAGCCGACCUGAGAGGGUGAUCGGCCACACUGGGACUGAGACACGGCCCAGACUCCUACGGGAGGCAGCAGUAGGGAAUCUUCCGCAAUGGACGAAAGUCUGACGGAGCAACGCCGCGUGAGUGAUGAAGGCUUUCGGGUCGUAAAACUCUGUUGUUAGGGAAGAACAAGUGCUAGUUGAAUAAGCUGGCACCUUGACGGUACCUAACCAGAAAGCCACGGCUAACUACGUGCCAGCAGCCGCGGUAAUACGUAGGUGGCAAGCGUUAUCCGGAAUUAUUGGGCGUAAAGCGCGCGCAGGUGGUUUCUUAAGUC